ACGGGAGGCAGCAGUGAGGAAUAUUGGUCAAUGGGCGGAAGCCUGAACCAGCCAAGUCGCGUGAAGGAAGACGGUAUUAUGUAUUGUAAACUUCUUUAGCAGGGGAGCAAUAAUCGCCACGCGUGGUGAGAUGAGAGUACCCUGAGAAUAAGCAUCGGCUAACUCCGUGCCAGCAGCCGCGGUAAUACGGAGGAUGCGAGCGUUAUCCGGAUUUAUUGGGUUUAAAGGGUGCGCAGGCGGUCUUUUAAGUCAGUGGUCAAAUCGUGGUGCUCAACGCCAUCCCGCCAUUGAUACUGGGAGACUUGAUUGCGGUUGAGGUAGGCGGAAUUCGUCGUGUAGCGGUGAAAUGCAUAGAUAUGACGAAGAACACCGAUUGCGUAGGCAGCUUACCAAGCCGUAAAUGACGCUCAUGCACGAAAGUGCGGGGAUCGAACAGGAUUAGAUACCCUGGUA
RNAcentral lists this ribosomal RNA (453 nucleotides) under uncultured Porphyromonadaceae bacterium. RNAcentral describes it as "partial 16S ribosomal RNA". It matches the Rfam family "Bacterial small subunit ribosomal RNA", at positions 341 to 792 of the family's 1533-position model. Lineage: Bacteria; Pseudomonadati; Bacteroidota; Bacteroidia; Bacteroidales; Porphyromonadaceae. The record is from RNAcentral.